AGGAUAAUAGUUAAAUUUAACAUUUAAUUUGCACUUAAAAAAUAUUGAUUAAUCAAUUUAUCUU
Molecule: transfer RNA, 64 nt
Filed under: Bostrichoidea sp. 7 KM-2017
Lineage: Eukaryota; Metazoa; Arthropoda; Insecta; Coleoptera
Description: tRNA-Ala
Source: RNAcentral